CCUACGGGUGGCAGCAGUGAGGAAUAUUGGUCAAUGGCCGGAAGGCUGAACCAGCCAUGCCGCGUGCAGGAAGAAGGCUCUAUGAGUUGUAAACUGCUUUUGUACAAGGGUAAACCUGUAUACGUGUAUUCAGCUGAAAGUAACGUACGAAAAAGGCACGGCUAAACCCGUGCCAGCAGCCGCGGUAAUACGGAAGGUCGGGGCGUUUUUCGGAUUUGUUGGGUUUAAAGGGGGCGUAGGCCGGUCUUUAAGCGUGCCGGGAAAUUUUGUGGCUCAACCAUGUGCGUGCGGCGGGAACUGUAGACCUUGAGUGCGCGGAAGGCAGGCGGAAUUCGUGGUGUAGCGGUGAAAUGCUUAGAUAUCACGAAGAACCCCGAUUGCGAAGGCAGCCUGCCGCAGCGUUACUGACGCUGAGGCUCGAAAGCGCGGGUAUCGAACAGGAUUAGAUACCCUUGUAGUC
RNAcentral lists this ribosomal RNA (460 nucleotides) under uncultured bacterium. RNAcentral describes it as "partial 16S ribosomal RNA". It matches the Rfam family "Bacterial small subunit ribosomal RNA", at positions 338 to 795 of the family's 1533-position model. The record is from RNAcentral.